AGUCUGACGGAGCAACGCCGCGUGAGCGAAGAAGGUCUUCGGAUCGUAAAGCUCUGUUGUCAGGGAAGAACAAGUACCGUUCGAACAGGGCGGUACCUUGACGGUACCUGACGAGGAAGCCACGGCUAACUACGUGCCAGCAGCCGCGGUAAUACGUAGGUGGCAAGCGUUGUCCGGAAUUAUUGGGCGUAAAGCGCGCGCAGGCGGUUCCUUAAGUCUGAUGUGAAAUCUCGCGGCUCAACCGCGAGCGGCCAUUGGAAACUGGGGAACUUGAGUGCAGGAGAGGGGAGCGGAAUUCCACGUGUAGCGGUGAAAUGCGUAGAGAUGUGGAGGAACACCAGUGGCGAAGGCGGCUCUCUGGCCUGUAACUGACGCUGAGGCGCGAAAGCGUGGGGAGCGAACAGGAUUAGAUACCCUGGUAGUCCACGCCGUAAACGAUGAGUGCUAAGUGUUAGAGGGUAUCCACCCUUUAGUGCUGCAGCAAACGCAUUAAGCACUCCGCCUG
This 505-nucleotide ribosomal RNA is filed under the name Aeribacillus pallidus. Its description in RNAcentral is "bacterial SSU rRNA". It matches the Rfam family "Bacterial small subunit ribosomal RNA", at positions 380 to 875 of the family's 1533-position model. The record is from RNAcentral. Lineage: Bacteria; Bacillati; Bacillota; Bacilli; Caryophanales; Bacillaceae.